UACGGAAGAUCCGAGCGUUAUCCGGAUUUAUUGGGUUUAAAGGGAGCGUAGGCGGGAAUCCAAGUCAGUUGUGAAACCCUGCGGCUCAACCGUAGUCGUGCAGUUGAAACUGGAUUUCUUGAGUGCGCACAGGGCAGACGGAAUUUGUGGUGUAGCGGUGAAAUGCUUAGAUAUCACGAAGAACUCCGAUCGCGAAGGCAGUCUGCCGGGGCGCUACUGACGCUGAGGCUCGAAAGUGCGGGUAUCAAACAGG
Molecule: ribosomal RNA, 253 nt
Filed under: uncultured bacterium
Lineage: Bacteria
Description: partial 16S ribosomal RNA
Rfam family: Bacterial small subunit ribosomal RNA
Source: RNAcentral